UAAUACGGAGGGUGCAAGCGUUAUCCGGAUUCACUGGGUUUAAAGGGUGCGUAGGUGGGUUGGUAAGUCAGUGGUGAAAUCCCCGAGCUUAACUUGGGAACUGCCAUUGAUACUAUCAGUCUUGAAUACCGUGGAGGUCAGCGGAAUAUGUCAUGUAGCGGUGAAAUGCUUAGAUAUGACAUAGAACACCAAUUGCGAAGGCAGCUGGCUACACGAAUAUUGACACUGAGGCACGAAAGCGUGGGGAUCAAACAGGAUUAGAUACCCUGGUAGUCCACGCCCUAAACUAUGGAUACUCGACAUACGCGAUACACAGUGUGUGUCUGAGCGAAAGCAUUAAGUAUCCCACCUGGGAAGUACGAUCGCAAGAUUG
Molecule: ribosomal RNA, 373 nt
Filed under: uncultured bacterium
Lineage: Bacteria
Description: bacterial SSU rRNA
Rfam family: Bacterial small subunit ribosomal RNA
Source: RNAcentral